RNAcentral lists this long non-coding RNA (1031 nucleotides) under Sinocyclocheilus anshuiensis. RNAcentral describes it as "lncRNA (ENSSANG00000027483.1)". Lineage: Eukaryota; Metazoa; Chordata; Actinopteri; Cypriniformes; Cyprinidae. The record is from RNAcentral.
CAAAGUCCUCUGCAGAAGUUCCAGUCACUGUUAGAAAACACGUACAGUCUGACUAACUUUGACUUUCCACUUCCCUCUGCUUUGGGUCUGAUGACAUAACAACUAUUCCUGGCCACUUCAAUGGCUGAUUAUAUAUUCUACUAUAUCCAGGUAUGUAGGGAAUACAUUGAAGUAAAGGUUGUAUGCCUGAUGAUGUGCAGGACGUGGCUGACGCCACUGCUGGGUCUGACUGUGAGUCUGUGCAUACUGAGGUACUGCUGCAAAAUCUGCAGUAAAGUCUCAGACACUGACUCAGUUCUGGACCUGUCAAACAGCGACCAUGUCUAUGUGAUUCCCAACCCCAUUCAUGUGAGAGAAGAGAGAGGCGAACAAGAUGAGAUAAGCUCUCAUGAUGACUCUGAGUUCACACCACCACCAUAUGAACUAGUGUGUCCACCACCGUCAUAUGCAGAGUCCAGCGUUAAAUUAAAUAUUUCUGAUGUUCAAGUGACUCCAGACACUUCCGACGUGCCACCGCCACCGUACUGCCCACCUUUAAAUAUGAUGUCACAAUCAUCCAGUCAUCAACAAUAGACACUUCUGAAUAUAUAUUUUUGUUGGUGUGAUAACGAGUAUAACUAAUACAUGUUUUUAUUCUCAUAACUGGAAUUGUGUGUGUGAAAGUUCGCACCAAAUAGGCAGGGCUAUGUGGUGUUUUUCCCUGGAACUUAGAGUUUUCCAGAAUAAUCAUUCAGUACUUUCACCAUCAGACAAGAUAAGAUGCUGCAUCAUAUUAAUGAGCAAAUGAACCUAAGUCUGUCAUUCGGUUACUCAACAGUCUAAGAGCUUUACAGUUUCUACGUCAGAGAUAAAUCUUAUCUUGUAAGAACAAAAAAGUUUACUGCUUUUGUGAACCACGUGAAGAGGAGUGGCUGAAAUGUAACCAUAUUUCCAUGUAUUAUGUAAAUCCUGGGUAACGCUUUACUUGAAGGGGUGUGCAUAAGACUGACAUGACACCGCAUUAAAAAUGACAUAACUGAGCGAAUGACACU